UUGUUAUUUGCAGACAUAGGUCCCCCUGCGUUUCAUUCUCUCUUUAAUUGUAUGUCAAGUGAUCACAAAUCUAGCAAGGGGUGGGAAUGAGCUGAAGAAUCAGACCCUAACCCUGUCUGUUUUCUGAUCGAUGCAAAGUAUAUUUGGACGGAGCUCCCUCCGAAGCUUCCGAAGGCACCGGGGCAAUCGAUGCCCCCGCGUCUCAGGGACCUCGGAGGCCUGAGCUUGGAGAGCAGCUGGGACGGAGCCUCAGCCCAGGGUUCCUGCCACGGGGGUCGUGGGACCCCGUGCAAACAUUGUCACCACUGUGCUAAUUUGAAAUAACAAUUAAUCUGAAAGAGAAGAUAAUCGGGGAUAUCUAACUUAAACAAAGAGACAGAGGAGCCGAUCCAAAAUUUUCGGCACGGGCGUCGGAGGAGAGCAGUGAUCAAAGGAGCCCCCGAACGUCGUGAAGGCCGCUUACUCUUCCAGCCCCCUGGCGAGCAGGCGCUAACAGCUCUGGGGAUAGAAAUACCAGGUGUACCCCCGACCGAAUUUGUCCCCCAAAAAGCACGCGCAGAAGCCUGCCCUGGUGACUGUAGAGGACAGGUCUCUCGGAGGUGAUCAAGGUUCAGUGAGGCCAUGAGCCUGCGGUCCUGAUCCCGUGGGACUGCGGCCGUUCGAGGAGAGGAAGGGAGAGAGGUGAGGACACAGUGAGAAGGCGGCCGUCCACAAUCUGGAACCCCGCCACGCCUCAACCCUGGCCCCGUCCUUCCGCCUCCAGAACCCAGACAUAAACCCGUGCUGUUCGAGCCGCCCCGGAGGUACUGUGGUCUGGCAACCAUAGAUGAUGGUUGGCAUGGAGAUCGCCACAAACAGCUCACCCCACACACAAAUGAGUGUGUGUGUAAAUUGCCUCUGUGUUGAUCUUCUUUUUCCCCUGAACCGCACAGUGAUUACCGCUUGCGUUGAGGAUCAUAAUGAGAAAUGAAUUUUUCUUUAUCUUCAUGGAAAAUCUUAUUAGCUGUAAUUGGAUAAAACCCAG
Molecule: long non-coding RNA, 1024 nt
Filed under: Felis catus (domestic cat)
Lineage: Eukaryota; Metazoa; Chordata; Mammalia; Carnivora; Felidae
Description: lncRNA (ENSFCAG00000047876.1)
Source: RNAcentral